CCCACCUCAUUACUUGCCAGGAUUAGGCAUGUAAGAGCACCUCAUAUCAAAUGCUGUCAUGCGCAAAGGGUUUCUUGCCCUAAAGGCACUCAGGGGCCAAUAUAUAAGCCGUCCCUGUGUGUAGCACCCUCACACACUCCUCCGGACACCUUUCUACCCUGCAACCAGCAAGGUGAGCCUGAACCCCACUCCCAUCCUUCGCCCACCUGAUCAGCCUUAUCUCCCUACCCCCCAUCUCCCCCCAGCCUCAGAAGCCUUUCUGCCUCCCCAAAGCCAUGCUCCCCACUACCCCAGGCCUUCCUACUGCCUUGACCUCCCCCACCACCCCUCCACACACCCCCAGUACCCUCAGCCUUCCCAACACCCUCUCUUCCAGGCACCCUCCACACCACAGACAUGUCCUGCUACGACAUCUGCCGCCCCUGCGGACCCACCCCGCUGGCUAACAGCUGCAACGAGCCCUGUGUCAGGCAGUGCGAGGACUCCCGCGUCGUCAUCCAGCCUCCUGCCGUGCUGGUCACCCUGCCAGGACCCAUCCUCAGCUCCUUCCCCCAGAACACCGCUGUUGGAUCCUCUGCAUCAGCUGCCGUGGGCAGCAACCUCAGCGCCCAGGGAGUGCCCGUCUCUGGAGGCGGCUUCGGAGGCUUUGGCCUUGGAGGCUUUGGCUUUGGAGGCCUGGGCUGCAUCAACGGAGGAAGAGCCUGCUACCCCUGCUAAGGACCCAUGCCAACACCCCUGACAGCAGCCUCCAGCACUGUGCCAGACAGCUCUCAGGCUGAGGAUGCUCCUCUGUGCCGCUCAUGGCACACGGGCUCACCAGCUGCAGCUCAUCAUUCCAUGGCACAACAAAACAAGCAAGCAAGGAAGGGACCAGCCCAUGCUGUCAGGAAACAUGGCCAACAUACCUCCUUCUUGCUUGCUUUGUUGUGCCAUGGAAUGAGCUACAGCUGGUGAGCCCAUGUGCCAUGAGCGGCACAGAGGAGCAUCCUCAGCCUGAGAGCUGUCUGGCACGGUGCUGGAGGCUGCUGUCAGGGGUGUUGGCGUGGGUCCUUAGCAGGGGUAGCAGGCUCUUCUGCCAGAGAAGCAGCCCAGGCCUCCGAAGCCAUAGCCCCCAAAGCCAAAGCCUCCAAGGCCAAAGCCUCCGAAGCCACCUCCAGAGAUGGGCACUCCCUGGACGCUGAGGUUGCUGCCCACGGCAGCUGAUGCGGAGGAUCCAACGGCGGUGUUCUGGGGGAAGGAGCUGAGGAUGGGUCCUGGCAGGGUGACCAGCACGGCAGGAGGCUGGAUGACGACGCGGGA
This 1299-nucleotide long non-coding RNA is filed under the name Anas platyrhynchos platyrhynchos (common mallard). RNAcentral describes it as "lncRNA (ENSAPLG00000020910.1)". Lineage: Eukaryota; Metazoa; Chordata; Aves; Anseriformes; Anatidae. The record is from RNAcentral.